CGACCUUGUGCCAGUGGCGCGUCCUGCCUUGCGUGGUACCGCUGCUGUGUGUGCUUGCGCGCCAUGGAGCCUUCGUGCCCUUGGUGCGCGCAGCUCUUAAGCUGCUCCCAUGUUGCGCAAUUCGMUAAGCACCCUCAGUGCUCGUAUAUGCGCUGCAACGGGAAGCGCUUGGUCAAUGAAGCGCCUUCGCGCUCAUCCAAGAMAUGAAGUCAGGMCMGCYAACCCGCUGAAUUUAAGCAUAUAAGUAAGCCGAGGACAAGAAACUAAAUAGGAUUCCUUCAGUAAUGGCGAAUGAACARGGAUWAGCUCAGCAUGGAAAUCGGGGUCCUGGGCCCUGAAUUGUARGCUGGAGAGGUAUUACCAGCGGAGGCGCAGAUGUAAGCCUUUUGGAAAAGAGCAUCAACSAGGGUGAGAGUCCCGCUUGUCAUCUGCAGUCCCCCGCGUACGGUCUGCCUUCCMAGAGUCACGUUCCUCGAGAUUGGAGCGCAAACUGGGUGGUAAAUUUCAUCUAAAGCUAAACAUUGGUUCGAGACCGAUAGCAAACAAGUACCAUGARGGAAAGGUGAAAAGGACUUUGAAAAGAGAGUUAAAAGUGCCUGAAAUUGCUGAAAGGGAAGCGAAUGGAGCCAGUGUGUUAGAGCGAGAUUGUUGCGUGCCAUUGCGAUGGCUUCCUGCUUCAGCGCAAGCGUGGUAGGGAGUUUUGAGCAGGACGCGCGCAGUGCUUCGUGCUCUACGUGUCAUAUGCGGCCCACAUUUGGGGAAAACUCUGGGGACAUGGUARCCUGCCCUUGGGUGGGUGAACGUGCUCAGUUGUACCCACUUGGGUGCCGAUUGAUGACUAAAUGGUYCCUUUCGACCCGUCUUGAAACACGGACCAAGGAG
RNAcentral lists this small RNA (882 nucleotides) under Zooxanthella nutricula. Its description in RNAcentral is "LSU rRNA". The stretch from base 200 to 882 matches the Rfam family "Eukaryotic large subunit ribosomal RNA", at positions 1 to 673 of the family's 3401-position model. The record is from RNAcentral. Lineage: Eukaryota; Dinophyceae; Peridiniales.